AGUGAACGCUGGCGGUAGGCCUAACACAUGCAAGUCGAACGGCAGCACAGUAAGAGCUUGCUCUUACGGGUGGCGAGUGGCGGACGGGUGAGGAAUACAUCGGAAUCUACUUUUUCGUGGGGGAUAACGUAGGGAAACUAACGCUAAUACCGCAUACGACCUACGGGUGAAAGCAGGGGAUCUUCGGACCUUGCGCGAUUGAAUGAGCCGAUGUCGGAUUAGCUAGUUGGCGGGGUAAAGGCCCACCAAGGCGACGAUCCGUAGCUGGUCUGAGAGGAUGACCAGCCACACUGGAACUGAGACACGGUCCAGACUCCUACGGGAGGCAGCAGUGGGGAAUAUUGGACAAUGGGCGCAAGCCUGAUCCAGCCAUACCGCGUGGGUGAAGAAGGCCUUCGGGUUGUAAAGCCCUUUUGUCGGGAAAGAAAAGCAGCAGGUUAAUACCCCGCUGUUCUGACGGUACCCAAAGAAUAAGCACCGGCUAACUUCGUG
This 492-nucleotide ribosomal RNA is filed under the name uncultured bacterium. RNAcentral's name for it is "partial 16S ribosomal RNA". It matches the Rfam family "Bacterial small subunit ribosomal RNA", at positions 29 to 507 of the family's 1533-position model. The record is from RNAcentral.